CUGCACUGGAGAGGCUUCAGGGGAGAGGGGCUGCUUGAGUACUAACCCUGGGCUGAGCCCCUACAGCAGCUUGGCUAGUUCCGGUCUCCUGCUGGUGUUUAUGCCUUUCCUGGACCUUGUUAUCAGGCCUCCCACGAUGGACUGAAUAUCUUUUUGGGAGUGACCACGCCUCCACUGGGCUCUUCCGGCAGGAGGCAGGGCCCGUUUUCUCUGUCUUCACAGUGCUCGAAGCUAGAGUGAUUUUUCUGCUGGGUUUCUAUCCGUGGGCCGUUCCUUCCUCUCUGCAGAUCUUUUGGGAACUCCUAGCUGGACAGGGCUUCCCACAUGGGGCUGCGAUGAACCACUAGACUCUGGGUCUCAAUCCGCGGCUGGCUCUGGCUCCUGCUCAAUCCUAGCUAUAGCACCCAAGGGUCAUGACUCUCGGGUUUCAGAGCAUAUCAGCAUCACUAGGGAAUCGGUGAGAACCUGAGAUUUCCUCAAUAAUUCAUACCCCUGUUCCUCCUCCUGCAGCGUCACGUGGCCCUGAACAAAGGCGGUGAACUUUAUCCGGCAGUAACCUAAUCUCCUGGAUCGUUUACCAACAACACUCAGAGUGAUCUCCGGGAUUACCUUGGGCUUUGGCCAGCACCAGGGAGACUGGGCUGAACAGAAGUUUCUGGCUCUGUGUGGACCACGUUCUCUCCUAGCGUCAGAGCUUUCCUCAGAGUUCUGUGAGAGCAGUGUUAACUGUGGACAGUCCUGGACUCACAUCACCCCAGUUUGUUGCCUCAGAAGACAAAACUCUCCCAGGAUCUUGAGAUGGAUCGAGAUUGAGAGUCCUGAGUUCAGAGCUCUUAAUGGAACGGGCAAAGUUCUAAGGAGAGAAGCUAUGGAGAUGGGGAAAGGAAACUCAGGUGGAGCAGAGAUGGAGGCACAAGCCAAGGCCUCUGUGAGUCACCAGAAGCAGGGGCAGGACCAGCCUUGGUAACGCUGUGAUUUAGGACAGCCGACAAUCCCAACAUGUGUUAAUUCUAAUACAUUUCUGUCUUUUGAAGCAGUCCUGUUAGGAUCAGUUGGUUAUGGCGGCCCCAGGAGAUGAAUGUAUGAGGUAAGGCUAACCCCUGUGCAGGCUGCCGGGGUCUAUCUGUCCUGAUUUUGUUCUUGAGCUUAGGAAUGUCAGGCUGUGCCCCUCCAUGUGGGGCUCUUGGGAGACACAUUGUAAACAGCAAAAUCACAGUGUGAGAGUCACCCUGAACUCUGCAUGUGUGCCCUGAAGCUCUGAGGCUCCCACUGAGUGCAGGGCUGCAAGUUAGUAAGAGUUCUGUAUUUACCAAUACCACUGUGCGUUGGGCACUUGCCCCUGUGCUGAGCAUUGACCCGAGCAUCCGGGAGUGCUCUGUGUGCUGGCGCUGUGUGUUCUUCUGCACUUUUGGAGCAAGGACAGCUAUUAGUGGUUGAACCUGAGUCAAAGAUCAAAUGUUCACCGUCAGGGCACUGACCAUUCUGUCCUGGCUUACUGCACAUGGCUACUGCUGGUGCUCUGGGACAUUACUGUUUUUCUCCUGCCUCCUCCUCCAGGAUCUAAGAUGAUCACAACAGACUCUGGAAAUCCACCAUCUCUAGUCCAAGUCCUUGGGUCAGACUUGGCUUUGUCCUCACUAGAUGUACAGCCUCAGUAGCCAAGAUCUCUUACGUUAGAGAAAUUAUGUAGUUGGGAACAUGAACCAGGUACCACAGAGCUUGAGUGGUUAAUGCUAAAACCUAGUCUUGGAGGGAGGUGGUGGAUCACAUGGAGAAGCUGAGUUUCCAUCAGAUGUCUAUAACAGCUGGGGGUGUAGGGCUCCUCCUCCACAGCUCAAGGCCAGCCUAGGCACCGUAGUGAGUUCUAGGCUCGCCUCUGCUAUAGCAAGGCUUGUCUUAACGGAAACAUACUAGAGCAGGAAGAAAGGGGCUCAGCCUUUUUUUCAGGAACUCACUUCCUCUCUGACUGACCCCUGUGACCAAUCGUUACCCAUUUCAAGGGCAGCACCCUCCUGAUCCUGUCUCCUCUCACAGGUCCGCACUUCUAUAUCGUUACUAUGCGAAUAGAUUUUCCAGUGUGCAGACUUUUGGGGGCCUCUUCCCUUCUGUGGUACCGUGGUACCAGGAUAGGCAUCCUCUGGCUCUCAGAG
This 2150-nucleotide long non-coding RNA is filed under the name Rattus norvegicus (Norway rat). RNAcentral describes it as "long non-coding RNA NONRATT009132". Lineage: Eukaryota; Metazoa; Chordata; Mammalia; Rodentia; Muridae. The record is from RNAcentral.